CGCAUUUGGAGCUCAUGAUUACCCAACCAGUGGUGUCUUUGAAGUUGAACCGCGAAAAUGUCCAGGAUUUAAGUUUAGGAAGUCAAUAUUAGUUGGGACUACAAAGCUGGAUCCGAAUCAGGUUAGAGAGUUCAUUGAGCAUCAAGCUGCUGCCUACAAUGGUGACUCCUAUCACUUGAUUGUGAAGAACUGCAACCAUUUUUGCAAGGAUAUAUGCCACAAGCUGACAGGGAAAAAGAUUCCAAAAUGGGUGAACAGGCUUGCAAAAUUAGGUUCAGCAUUCAACUGCAUGUUACCUGAGGCUUUGAAAGUUGCUGCUGUCGAAGACGAACCAAAUGGCCCAGAGUAUGAUAGUGAGAAGAGAAGGCUGAGAAGUGCUUUCAGUUGUUUUUCUUCGAUUUCAACGAGACAACAGAAGCUAUCUACGUCUUCGUUAUUUCUGCAGUCACCCGUUAAAGGUUGCUUACCUUCUUUGGAGUUGAGAAAGUCUACCAA
This 495-nucleotide unclassified non-coding RNA is filed under the name Hevea brasiliensis (rubber tree). Lineage: Eukaryota; Viridiplantae; Streptophyta; Magnoliopsida; Malpighiales; Euphorbiaceae. The record is from RNAcentral.